GGUUCCAUCGUCUAUUGGUUAGGAUAGGGCACUGUCACUGCCCAGAGACGGGUUCGACUCCCGUUGGGACCGCCA
This 75-nucleotide transfer RNA is filed under the name Acidimicrobiia bacterium. RNAcentral describes it as "tRNA-Asp". It matches the Rfam family "tRNA". From Rfam's summary of the family: Transfer RNA (tRNA) molecules are approximately 80 nucleotides in length. RNAcentral also lists the same sequence under 1 other name. The record is from RNAcentral. Lineage: Bacteria; Bacillati; Actinomycetota; Acidimicrobiia.